RNAcentral lists this long non-coding RNA (2519 nucleotides) under Citrus x clementina. Its description in RNAcentral is "Citrus clementina (C. clementina) long non-coding RNA (CCLE_LNC005494)". The record is from RNAcentral. Lineage: Eukaryota; Viridiplantae; Streptophyta; Magnoliopsida; Sapindales; Rutaceae.
AUUUAUUUUAAUUAUAAGGAUAAAAUAGGAAGAGGGGGAAGUGGAUUCCCACUGCCACCUCUCCCCAUGGGAGUGGGAAUCCCACUCCCCACUCCAAAAUUAGGUGGGACCUACGGAUUUCCACUCCCACUCCCCCCUUUUUUAAGGUAAGUAAACACUGGAGUGGGAGAAAUCCACACUCCACACUCCCACUCCAAAAAGUAAACACUACCUUAAAGAAUUAAAAGAUCCAAUAUGCAUAUUGAUGAGUUGGAUUAUUGGCAUCCUUGGGAAAUUUACGAAAAUAACUCUAAAUUUUUUUAAUUUUAACCCCUCAAAGUUAUUUCUAUCACCAUUAGCUAAAACAAAAGUUUCGGACCAAAGUGACCCUCUCACAUUUCUCCCCCAAUUCAAUCUCUCUCACGCAAAUCUCUCCAACAACCAAAAACAUCCAUUGUUGGCGGUGGCUCCACCCAUCGUCGGUGUCUGAUCCACUUUCAACGGCGAAGAAAAUCACCAAGAUCCAUUGUUCAACUUCAAUAAAACCUAGGUUAGCUAUUUUAUUCAUAUUUUAUUAAUUAAUAAUGAAAUUGGAGAAUAAUAGUGGUAGUAGCUUGAGAAUAAUGGUGGCGGUGGUCCUUGUAGUGGUAGUUGUUGUUUUGAGAGCGUGUUGUUUUAAAUGUGUGUGUGUGUGAUGGAUAGUGUGAUGAGCAGCAGCCAUCGCAAAUUUUGGUGCAUUCCCGAGUCACCCAUUUUUUUGCGCGAUAGCAGCACCCAUCGCAACAAAAUUGUGCGAUGAGCGCCCAUCGCAUGAAAUUGGCGUGAUGACAGCGCCCAUCGCACGAACUCACGUGAUGGGUGCUGCCCAUCACACUAAUUCGUGCGAUGGGUUUGGAGCCCAUGUGACAAUUUUGUGCAACGGCCUCCGGUUUGAAUUUUUGUGUGACAGGAACCCAUUGCACCAAAUUUUGUACGAUGGGUUCCCGUUACACAAAAAUGGUAAUUUUCAGGGACCUCCCCUGAGAUUUGGUGUAUUAACACUUAGAUAGAAUGUAUUGAUAUAAUUGCAGAUACCUCUCAUGCCGUUAGUUAUAUGUUGAGUUGACCGUUAGUGGACUAUUAAAAUUACUAAAAUACCCUCCCUUCCAAAAUAAUAAAUUAUCAAAUAAAUCUUUGUUGUUUCGUGAAGUAGGAUGUUAUUAGAAGCUACUUUUGAUGUUUUGAUUUAACUAAAAUUGCUCUUUUAAAAAAUUAUUUCAACUGUUUUUUAUAUUAUAUUUAUUCGUAAUCUACUAAUACUUUCAAUCGAAGACUUUCAUACCCUGUUUUGAUUCUAUUAUUAUGACAUAAAUCAAAUGUUUAGGCCAUAAUGAGCAUAUUCAAAGUUAAAAAAUAAAAUUUACUGAAAGGCGAGGACAAGCAAUUGAAGUUAAAUUGGACAAAUGACAUUGUCACUAGUUAGUAAAGACAUGAUUUUGCAUUAAUAAAUUUGAGGAAUUAGCAUUGUUGAAAGAUUAUAAUAAAAUCAUUACAUCGUUACGAACAUACAAAUCAACUUCACUCAGACAUCGAUAUUUUUUUUCUUUUUCCCCCUCAGCUGAACUAGCUUAUGUAGUAAAGACAUGAUUUCGCAUUAAUAAAUUUGAGGAAUUAGUAUUGUUGAAAGAUUAUAAUAACAUCAUUACAUCGUUACGAACAUACAAAUCAAUUUCACUCAGACAUCGAUAUUUUUUUUCUUUUCCCCCCUUAGCUGAACUGGCUUAUGAAAUCUCAAGUGAAAUAGGACAAUGGUCACUCCCAUUAAAACCUGCAAAUAAAGAAAAAAAAAGUACAAAGAAUUAGCAUUUAUCUAAUUUUUCUGUUUUAUGUAUCACUAUAGAGACAUUGUUGAUGAAAUCAGGCAGUUCAAGAGGAGGCUUUUCAGAUUUUAAGUUUUGUUCCCAACUUGCUACUUAGACAGUAAGAAGAUUUUCAUAACAUUCAUCACACAUUCAAACACUAGUUUCAGGUAUAUGUAUGGUAAUAUAAAGCUACCCAUCAGGAAAUAAACAGUACCUUCUAAAUCAAUUAUGUGUCCUUGCAUUUCAAAUACAAUAAUACAAUCUUUGAGUUCUUCUAAAAUAAUGAAAUAGCCUAUUGUGUCAUCCUUUUCUCCUGAUACAUGGGAAAAAAAAAAAGAAAUUUAGUAUAUCACACACUACAAGAAAAAUACUAUAUGACAACAGGCAAAGCUUGUUGUGGAAGGGGUUUCACGACGAGCACAUGCGUGUUGCGGUUCUUGCUGUAGCGAAAAGUAGGUAACUUUCAACUACGCGCAAUUCACGUUGUUGAAAAAGAUAUGAAUGUUGUUAAAUGUCUUAUGACAACUUGUAGUGACUGUGGUUAAAAAGGUCAUGUGCAUCCAAAUUUUUGACUACAAGCUUGUGAAUGUUGUCAUAAACUAUAUAGCAACAAGCAACUAAUUGUUGCCAUUAAUUUCAAUUUUUUUUUAACAAUAAACAACAUAUCUUGCAUGUUGCCAAUAAUAAUAAUAAUAAUAA